RNAcentral lists this long non-coding RNA (1057 nucleotides) under Marmota monax (woodchuck). Lineage: Eukaryota; Metazoa; Chordata; Mammalia; Rodentia; Sciuridae. The record is from RNAcentral.
UUGCAGAGACUGCUAGUUCUUCCCAGUAUUUAACCCACUUUCUAUAAAGAAUUUUUCCUGGACAGAGAGUACAUUUCCAGCCCUCUUUUCAGUAUAACUUAGCAAACUGACUAAAUUUUGGCAAGCGGAUUUGUACAGAGGUGAAAGGUGUAAUGUUUACCUUUGUUUACAAUGGAAUGUAUGUGGCUUCUUCUUGCUUCUUCCCCUCUUCCUGAUGGAUUGUAACUAUGAGGGAUAGAGCUAGAAGAAACAUCUUCAACUAAUGGUGGAAAUCCAGUAUUAUGAAUGUUUGAGCAACAAUUAGAAGAAGCUGAAAUCUCUGACACUGUGCAGCAGUAUUUGCCAUGAACUGAUUAUACCUGGACAAUUAUAUAAGGGAGAAAUAAGCUGCUAUCUUCUUUAAAAUACUAUUGUUAUUUUAUCUUAUUAAGCUUGUUUCUUUACUAAUAAAACUUACAUAGUUUGGGGAUAGAUAAGCCUGUAUUGAACCUAUGCCAUCUGUAUUGCUUCUACUGUGUAGAACUUGAAAAGAGGGAAUAGCCCCUUGAGAAUCUAGAGCUCAAGACAUGAAGGACCAUCAGCAGGUGUGUAACUCUCAGGAUAAAAAGCCAUGCUUAUUCAAUUCAGUAUUAAGUUAUCAUCCAUGAGUGAAAGAGCUUUGCUUGAGCUAAUGGCACAUACGGAAAAACUAUACACUAUUUAAUGAUAAUUAUAUAAUACAAGGAAGAAUGUCAGAUUUUGAACAAUGAGCUGAUUGGUAUUUGUGCAUGUAUAGGCAUUGAGUAAGAAAAGAAAUAGCAAUUUUAUAAUGUGUGAAAUCGUUUUCUCUUAUGAUCAUUCUACUCCAAGAAUGAAGCUUUUUGAAGAGUAAUCCAGUAAUAUUUGAUCCAAUAAAGAUUCCAAGUGAUGACAUGAUGUGGAAUGAAAAAGCCUCAUUGUCUUCCUGAUAUUAACUUUAGCAAAAGGUAGUUGUGAUUCUUUCACUUGUUAACUGAAGUCUCUUAGAAACCUAUUUGCACUUCUCACCUCAAACAUCUCUUCACCAACAAUGAAAUAG